RNAcentral lists this non-coding RNA (51 nucleotides) under Algicola sagamiensis. Its description in RNAcentral is "L31-Gammaproteobacteria ribosomal protein leader". It matches the Rfam family "L31-Gammaproteobacteria ribosomal protein leader". RNAcentral also lists the same sequence under 1 other name. Lineage: Bacteria; Pseudomonadati; Pseudomonadota; Gammaproteobacteria; Alteromonadales; Pseudoalteromonadaceae. The record is from RNAcentral.
CGUAUGGUGUUCGGCUUAGGAUCGAAUAGCGAUACGGCCUGAAAAAGAGGU